RNAcentral lists this unclassified non-coding RNA (259 nucleotides) under Hevea brasiliensis (rubber tree). The record is from RNAcentral. Lineage: Eukaryota; Viridiplantae; Streptophyta; Magnoliopsida; Malpighiales; Euphorbiaceae.
GUUAAUACAAUUAACCCAAGCAAUUGUAGCAUCAAUACCGCGCAAAUUGUUCAAAGCAGGGUUUUAAACAACGAAAUCAGAAUCAGUAUCGUAAUUGGAAACAGUGUUGUAGAAUUAGAUUUGAUUGGCCAACACAACUGUGAAUCUUUUCAAACCGAUACAAAAUGCCUUAAAUUAACAGUAAACCAAGAAUUAAAUAAAUAAGGCAGAUAUUAGGUCCAUAACACCUAAAGGAACAUUUUAUUUCAUAAUAUAACAU